Molecule: unclassified non-coding RNA, 367 nt
Filed under: Hevea brasiliensis (rubber tree)
Lineage: Eukaryota; Viridiplantae; Streptophyta; Magnoliopsida; Malpighiales; Euphorbiaceae
Source: RNAcentral
AGGAUCCUCACUGGAACUCAAAUAUGAUCCUAGGAAGAAAUAUAAUCCCUCAUAGGACUUAAAUUGCUCAAAAAGCUUUAUGCAAGCAUCAACACCCAACUGCUCACAGUACUCUUUUGCAACCUGAACAAUUAUUUGAAGGUUUCCUUUGAUAUUGAUAACAAGGAGGUCCUUCAUGCACUCAAGUGCCCAUUCACGUGAAAGGGUCCCAAAAAACUCAACCAACGCCUGAGGCUCAAUUGCAUGUGUAUUAACAAUGACGCGCUUGAUAUCAGGCAGUUCGGAAUAGUGCUGAAGAGCCCGCACGUAAAGACCAGCUUUCUCACAAAGUUGAGCAAUCCGAGGUCGAUCAUAAUGACUGAACAUU